Molecule: non-coding RNA, 114 nt
Organism: Acanthosepion pharaonis
Lineage: Eukaryota; Metazoa; Mollusca; Cephalopoda; Sepiida; Sepiidae
Source: the annotation of a GenBank genome assembly
UUAUGGUCAUAUCACUUUGAAAGACCAGUUCCCAUACAAUCAUCAAAGUUAGGCAACAUCGAGCCUAGUCAGUACUAAGAAUGGUGACUGCUUGGGAAUAUCAGAUGCUGUAAG